UGGGGAAUAUUGGACAAUGGGCGAAAGCCUGAUCCAGCCAUGCCGCGUGAGUGAUGAAGGCCUUAGGGUUGUAAUGCUCUUUUAGCGGGGACGAUAAUGACGGUACCCGCAGAAUAAGCCCCGGCUAACUUCGUGCCAGCAGCCGCGGUAAUACGAAGGGGGCUAGCGUUGUUCGGAAUUACUGGGCGUAAAGCGCACGUAGGCGGACUGUCAAGUCAGGGGUGAAAUCCCGGGGCUCAACCUCGGAACUGCCUUUGAUACUGUCAGUCUAGAGUCCGGAAGAGGUGGGUGGAAUUCCUAGUGUAGAGGUGAAAUUCGCAGAUAUUAGGAAGAACACCGGUGGCGAAGGCGGCCCACUGGUCCGGAACUGACGCUGAGGUGCGAAAGCGUGGGGAGCAAACAGG
Molecule: ribosomal RNA, 404 nt
Filed under: uncultured bacterium
Lineage: Bacteria
Description: bacterial SSU rRNA
Rfam family: Bacterial small subunit ribosomal RNA
Source: RNAcentral